UACAGAGGGUGCGAGCGUUGUCCGGAUUUACUGGGCGUAAAGAGCGCGCAGGCGGUCGGAUAAGUCGAAUGUGAAAGCCCCCGGCUCAACUGGGGAGGGUCAUUCGAUACUGUUCGACUCGAAGGCAGGAGAGGGAAGUGGAAUUCCCGGUGUAGUGGUGAAAUGCGUAGAUAUCGGGAGGAACACCAGUGGCGAAGGCGACUUCCUGGCCUGUUCUUGACGCUGAGGCGCGAAAGCGUGGGUAGCAAACAGG
This 253-nucleotide ribosomal RNA is filed under the name uncultured bacterium. RNAcentral describes it as "partial 16S ribosomal RNA". It matches the Rfam family "Bacterial small subunit ribosomal RNA", at positions 524 to 776 of the family's 1533-position model. The record is from RNAcentral.